UCGCAGCUCGCCUCCCGGUGUUCGUAAUUCCUGAUAGUUCGGUCCAGCGCUGCGUGUCAUCUCCCAGCCAGCCGCCGGCUGGUGGGAUAAUUUACCCUUAUUUGGUCGCAAGGCGGCAGAAAUUCAACCUUCCCCUCCCCACCUCAUUCCCCCUCCAUCUUGCCAGCCGCCCCCGCCCCGCCACUCCCCGUCUUGUCAGGGCGAAACGGCCGCCGAGCCGUUUCCUUCCGCCGCCGCGACCCCCGGCGGGGUCUGAGGUGCCGCCAGGCUGAGGAAAACUCUCCGCAGCGGCUUCGCGCCCUCCCUCUAUGGCAGAGGGAAAGUCCCGCAGCGAGCAGAGGCUGAGGCAGUUUUUAGCCUUAUUUUGGCUAAAACUUGGCAGGCUGACAGCCCUCCUUGCGCACAUCCCCUCUCAGGGGCAGCGAGGGCGGUUUCUCCCCUCGCCCGGCCGCCCUGAACCGCAGGAGCCUGUUGUCAGUGCUGUUGUCGCUACUGAGGUGAUCCUGGUCUUUUUUUCACACGGGUUCUGACCUUCGAGAAAUCUGAAAGAAGUCAAUGGCAAAUGGGAACUCUCAGCUCUCCCUACCUCCAACAGGAGCUGCUCUGUAUACAUGCAUGUAAAUGGGAAAAAAGCAGGAGCAGAUGAAGCAGGUGGUAACUGGAACUUCACCCUGUUGCCGGGACUGUUAUUAACUUAGAUCAUACACAACUCACGCAGCAUGACAGAGCUUCUUUACACCACCGCCCUCAAAUACAUCGACUAUGCUGUGUGGGAUCACUGCUGAGUGUGGGAAGGUGGGUUGCCUGUGAAUAUUAAAUUACAUUUUUCUGAUGAGACUGCAAAAAUACUGUUAAUCAGUGCCAACUGUGGUGGUGUGGUGUACAUACAGAACUGUGAACACCAGAGAACUGCUGGCAUGGGUAAUAGCUUUUAGCCCACAGUAAGCUAGAUUAGACGUAGAAUGUUGUGCCCUCCUCCCAGACUCUAAAAUCCUCUAGCUACCCUAAAAACAUAAGUUGUUUUAGGAAUGCACAGCUGCAAGAGGAUCUGCUUCACUCUUCACACAGUGAACUCUGCUCAACUGUAGAAACGUUUGAGCUUUUUGAAUAGAAAUAUGCACGUUUCCGGUUAGCCACCAGAUGGAGCUCACACCUCCCCAUCACACAAAUCCAUGCACAUCUGCAAAGUUAAAGCACUUCAGAGACGUUACAAAGGAUGCAGUUUCUUCCACUUCAUAAAAGUCGGAGGAAGUCUGUGAUUAGCUGGAUGUUUACAAAUAAAAGGAGGAUCUGGAGAUAGAUCAAAGAUAACUCUCCAGUUUUGGCAUGAUAUCAGGUUCCUGUACUAAUAGCAUCUGCAUGGGUUUGACCGUUGCAUUAAGUGGUUGAACUCGGCAUAUCUCAUCAUGUAUUAAUAAUGAUUUUUUAAUGCUUAGCGCAUUUAUUAGAAGUCUGAAGAUUCAGCCAGCUAAGGACCUGAAAAAACAAAAAAAAAUAACACCCCCCCAGCUAACAAGAUCUUCCAGACUCCAUUUAAAAGAGAAGCACCUACUGGGUUCUUCCUCACCCUGCUUUCUACAAUGUAAAGGGAAUCAAGAAGCAAAGAUAAGCACUGUUCCAAAAUCCAAAGGAUGUAGUACUUCAAGCUUAGUAAAUAGGAGCAGCAGCACUCAAAGCCUGUUCUCGUAUUGAUCUAAGUAGCUUGGAUGGUCCAAUCAUACCAUAUAUGCUUUUUACUGAGAAGUCUAUAGUUCAUGCAGGAUCUCGGUAACUUUGGCACAGCCCCAGUCACUGGGGAGAAAAGCAGAUCUGAGAUAGAAGAUUGUAGUGUGUGAAAUACACUGAAUUAAUGUAUAUGUGUUUUAAGGGACAUCUUUGUUUUGACUCUGUGUAACAAACCAACAUAGCUUGUGAGGUCUGGAAGGCCACAGACUAUUCCUACUUUCAUAGUAGUGCUCUGUUUGAAGCCAGUAUUUCUAUUUGGGGGUCUAAGCCACACUGAACUUGAUCAAAUAAACAUUC
Harpia harpyja (harpy eagle) is the source of this 2022-nucleotide long non-coding RNA. RefSeq lists it as uncharacterized. The transcript has 4 exons. The record is from RefSeq and is a predicted model, not a curated record. Lineage: Eukaryota; Metazoa; Chordata; Aves; Accipitriformes; Accipitridae.